Molecule: long non-coding RNA, 1193 nt
Filed under: Anser brachyrhynchus (Pink-footed goose)
Lineage: Eukaryota; Metazoa; Chordata; Aves; Anseriformes; Anatidae
Description: lncRNA (ENSABRG00000021269.1)
Source: RNAcentral
CUUGCUUACCACGUCUUUGGAUGUGCUUAUUUACCUCACUCAGUGGUGAGUUCUGCCUACUGACAGAAUUACUGGAACAUCUAUAGAAAAGAGGCUUUCAAAUGGCAGUGCAGAAAUUCUCCUUGUGAAUAUAAACAUAUUUGCAUAAGCAUGAGAGAGAUUUCUGAAUGCCUAAAAGGCAAAGCCUUGUUGUGCAGGCUCAUUGUUUGGACACAAACUUUAUUUUUCUGCAGCAUUAUCUAGUUUUGUUCCACCACUGUAAACCCCUAUUUUCCUUGUUUUCCUUGUCCUGAGUGAGAACUAUAAAUGUCACAAUAUGCUGAGUUAAUGAGGGAGCACCAGCCUGGGCUCUCUGCAUGUCUUUGCUUUGUGGCUUCAAAUCACAAAAUCAAACCCUUAAAUUUAUCUGAACAUAGCCUCUUUUUUGCCUGCAUGGUUUAAUGUGGCUUAAUUAACGGAUGUCUGAAAGUGAAGAUACAAAUACCCAUGUAGAUUAAAUGAGCCAAUUUGGGAUCCUGUAGGAGCUGAGUCCCUCUGAAAAUACAUUACAUCUUUUCUUCCACAAAGGAAUACAGAAAACACUUAGAAGGCACGAAAGGAAAACAAAACAGAUAAGGAGAGGAAACAGCUUUUUCUUCAUUAGUGUUUUCUAUAUAAGGUCUCUGACAAGAGAACAUUUUGAUCUCAUCCUCUGAAUGCUUUGUCCUGGUAUCCCCAAAAAAUGAGACCACAUGGUCAAGAGCACCGAGGCCACAGUGUUCCUUAUUUUUAUUUAGAUUAACCAGUUUUAUUCAGAGUUGCGGAAGAUGCUGCUGUAGAGGCCUUAUUUCUUCUCCUUGUCAGCAGCGGUGAUCACAGGUGUCACCCACAACAACUGGUGCCCACUGAAUGAAAGCACAGAGCUGGAAAACCAUUCUGUGAUUUGGCAUGCAUCCUGCAUCCCCCAGACUCUGGGAAAGGGUGAUUCUCACAUUUCAAGAAGUCAUCACAUCCAGUGGAGGUCUGUGAUGAAGGAUAGAGCAGCUGACAGAAGGAAACAAAUAGCACAUGUGGCUCAUCUGAAGCUCUCUGGUGUGCUGGCUGUUGGUGGCCCAUUUAAGUCUGAUGGGAUUAGCUGGCUUCAGUUGUUUCGACAUCUGUGUAAGGUUAGACUUUUUCUUCACUUUAGUGUCGUACCUAUCUGGUCUGAAUAA